Molecule: ribosomal RNA, 253 nt
Filed under: uncultured bacterium
Lineage: Bacteria
Description: partial 16S ribosomal RNA
Rfam family: Bacterial small subunit ribosomal RNA
Source: RNAcentral
UACGUAGGUGGCUAGCGUUGUCCGGAUUUACUGGGCGUAAAGAGCGCGCAGGCGGUCGUUCAAGUCGAGUGUGAAAGCCCCCGGCUCAACUGGGGAGGGUCACUCGAUACUGAUCGACUCGAAGGCAGAAGAGGGAAGCGGAAUUCCCGGUGGAGUGGUGAAAUGCGUAGAUAUCGGGAGGAACACCAGUGGCGAAGGCGGCUUUCUGGUCUGCUCUUGACGCUGAGGCGCGAAAGCUAGGGUAGCAAACGGG